UCGCAUUCUUAAACCCUCUUGGUGGCUUCACUUUAAGUGCUGCUAAGAUAUGAGUGAAUGCUAUAGAAACUGCAGGGGGGUCCAAAGGGCUGUGCUUCUCCUGUGGCUCAGGCUUAUUUCUUACCUGCAACAUCU
Molecule: small nucleolar RNA, 135 nt
Organism: Catagonus wagneri (Chacoan peccary)
Lineage: Eukaryota; Metazoa; Chordata; Mammalia; Artiodactyla; Tayassuidae
Source: Ensembl